This 158-nucleotide small nuclear RNA is filed under the name Capsicum annuum. Its description in RNAcentral is "U2 spliceosomal RNA". It matches the Rfam family "U2 spliceosomal RNA". Rfam says of the family: U2 is a small nuclear RNA (snRNA) component of the spliceosome (involved in pre-mRNA splicing). Lineage: Eukaryota; Viridiplantae; Streptophyta; Magnoliopsida; Solanales; Solanaceae. The record is from Rfam by way of RNAcentral.
AUACCUUUCUCCGCCUUCUGGCGAAGAUCAAGUGUGGCAUCCGUUCUUAUCAAUUUAAUAUCUGAUAUGUGUGUCAUCGACACACAAGGUAGCUUGAUACCUGGCUCUUGCGAUGUCGCCCAUGUGUUGCACUACUGCACAGGCCUGGCGCACCCAAC